Molecule: ribosomal RNA, 999 nt
Filed under: Trichothecium roseum
Lineage: Eukaryota; Fungi; Ascomycota; Sordariomycetes; Hypocreales
Description: eukaryotic LSU rRNA
Rfam family: Eukaryotic large subunit ribosomal RNA
Source: RNAcentral
AUAAGCGGAGGAAAAGAAACCAACAGGAUGCCUAGUAACGGCGAGUGAAGCGGCAACAGCUCAAAUUUGAAAGCUGGCUCUCGGGCCCGCAUUGUAAUUUGCAGAGGAUGCUUCUGGCGACGCGCCUUCCGAGUUCCCUGGAACGGGACGCCAUAGAGGGUGAGAGCCCCGUCCGGUCGUGCGCCUAGCCUCUGUGAAGCUCCUUCGACGAGUCGAGUAGUUUGGGAAUGCUGCUCAAAAUGGGAGGUAUACGUCUUCUAAAGCUAAAUACCGGCCAGAGACCGAUAGCGCACAAGUAGAGUGAUCGAAAGAUGAAAAGCACUUUGAAAAGAGAGUUAAAAAGUACGUGAAAUUGUUGAAAGGGAAGCGCUCAUGACCAGACUUGGGCUGGCCCGAUCAUCCGGCGUUCUCGCCGGUGCACUCGGGCCGCCCAGGCCCAGCAUCAGCUUUCGCCGGGGGAUAAAGGCGGCGGGAAUGUGGCUCCCUCGGGAGUGUUAUAGCCCGCCGUGCAAUACCCUGGUGGGGGCUGAGGUUCGCGCGUAUGCACGGAUGCUGGCGUAAUGGUUAUCAGCGACCCGUCUUGAAACACGGACCAAGGAGUCGUCUUCGUAUGCGAGUGUUCGGGUGUCAAACCCCUACGCGGAAUGAAAGUGAACGCUGGUGAGAGCUUCGGCGCAUCACCGACCGAUCCUGAUGUUCUCGGACGGAUUUGAGUAAGAGCAUACGGGGCCGGACCCGAAAGAAGGUGAACUAUGCCUGUAUAGGGUGAAGCCAGAGGAAACUCUGGUGGAGGCUCGCAGCGGUUCUGACGUGCAAAUCGAUCGUCAAAUAUGGGCAUGGGGGCGAAAGACUAAUCGAACCUUCUAGUANCUGGUUUCCGCCGAAGUUUCCCUCAGGAUAGCAGUGUUGAGCUCAGUUUUAUGAGGUAAAGCGAAUGAUUAGGGACCCGGGGGCGCUAUUUAGCCUUCAUCCAUUCUCAAACUUUAAAUAUGUAAGAAG